GUAGAACUGUGCCUGAGAUCUCUGCCUCUCUGGAGGGAGACUGCUUCUUUGCCAUUGGAAUAAUCACCAUACUCACAGCAAGAGCUUUGGGUGCUGGUUCCUGCCACAGCCCAGAGAACAUUUAGAAGGUAGAGGUUCAGAGGUUCAGUCUGUUAUUAUGGUGGGACAUUGGUGGCGUGCCAGCAGACAUGGUGUUGGAGAGGUAGCAGAGAAUUCUACAUCUUGACCAGGCAUCAGGAAGUGGUCUGAGACACUGGCAUGGCCCGAGAGUAUAUGAGACCUCAAAAGCCCCAUGGGAAGAGAUCAUCAUGCUCCAGUGUUGAAUGAAACACAGGUCAGUGCAUACUUGAAUGUAGUUAAAAAGAAAGUUCAAGAUGCCUGCUGAGAGAGAAGAAAAUAGAAUAAUCCUCAGAGAUGGAAUGGAAUUCACAGGAUGAAGAGGAUGGCAGAGUCGGGGGGAAUGGUUCUACAGUCCAAGUCAGUGGAGAAGACACAGUCUCCUGAGAUCUCUGAACACUGGAGUAUUACUCAUAGUUUCAAUUUCUUCUUGUAAUUUGACUUUUAACUGGUCAAUUAUGUGAUGUUUAGUACACACACACACACACACACACACACACACACACACACGUAUAUAUGGUACAAAAUUAGUCUUACAUGUUCCCAGAGCCAGUAUAAUCAAAUCAACCUGUCCCAAGCUUAAAUACAUCCCUGAAAAGGGAAGCAUUCAGGUUUUACAGGGUCGCUGCUUCUCAUUUCAUUUAUUUUUGCCUCCUGUCUUCUUUGAGACUCAUUUUGCCUGUCACUUCUUUCUCUACCCUUACCGGUCUUUCAUUGUUCUCAUUAGCCUCAGGGGGGCUUUUUGUGAAUGAACUGUAUCAUGAAAGGCAGCUAUCAGUCUUUUCAUGAUGCCAUGGGAUCUUUUGAGAAUCAUGCAGUACUUAGAAAAAUGAAAAAAGACAAAAUAAAUAAAUGAUAAAAAUGUAGGAUUUUUCUCUUUAAGCAACAACAAUAAGUGAACAUCAAAAUUUUCAGGGUUUCAUGCUUAGAAUAUCAUUAUAAGGAGAUGAGCGUGGAUUCAUUUCUUAUAUUAACGAGGCACCAGAGGCUCAGUAUUCAUAUGACUGGCCCAAGGCUGACCUGGUCAAAUCUCUUGCUCCCUGCUUACUUCUCUACUGUAAGCUUUCUUAGCUUUAUUCUAUAUCUCUGUGUGGUUGACUCCAGCUAGCUUAUACAGUGUUCAUGUGUAAGCGAGAGUCCGCAUCUUUUGUUUUCUGUCAUGGUCUCCUUUUCUUUUUAUACUAUUAUUUUAUUCAGUGUAUAAAAUAGUAAGUUUCAUUAUGGUAUCUUCAUAUAUGUAUAUCACUGUUCUAUGAUCAUAUUCAUCCCCACCUUUGUGGUCUUUUUAAUGGAAAUUUUUUUUUAGGAUGGCAAACCUGUUUUAUAUGUCAUAGGAAAUAUAGAUCUAUCUAUCUAUCUAUCUCUAUCUAUCUAUCUAUCAUUAUUUAUUUACUUAUUUAUUUGUGUGUGUAGGUGCACAUGCAUG
This is an RNA transcript of Peromyscus maniculatus bairdii (prairie deer mouse), 1543 nucleotides long. It is a transcript of the gene named oocyte-secreted protein 1-like, with no coding region annotated. NCBI's taxonomy places the organism in Eukaryota, Metazoa, Chordata, Mammalia, Rodentia, Cricetidae. The record is from RefSeq and is a predicted model, not a curated record.